UGAAAGAACUUAGACUGAUCAGUCGAACUUUAGCUCACAAAGAAUUUAGUUGAGCAGUGACGGUGGAGAAUGCUGAGCAGAGUUAUGAGUUUCCUUUUAUUUUAAGUAGUGGCUCUCGGCGGUGCAUGUCUCCAUACAUGUGACCGUGUUCAUUCCGCUGUAUAGCAUCAACUGUUCUUCCAUACUCUGAUAAAUAUCUAUUGAUGAAUAAGAUUUUAUAUUUUGAUAA
Non-coding RNA from Salvia hispanica, 229 nucleotides. The record is from RefSeq and is a predicted model, not a curated record. NCBI's taxonomy places the organism in Eukaryota, Viridiplantae, Streptophyta, Magnoliopsida, Lamiales, Lamiaceae.